GACGAACGCUGGCGGCGUGCUUAACACAUGCAAGUCGAACGGAAAGGCCCUGCUUUUGUGGGGUGCUCGAGUGGCGAACGGGUGAGUAACACGUGAGUAACCUGCCCUUGACUUUGGGAUAACUUCAGGAAACUGGGGCUAAUACCGGAUAGGAGCUCCUGCUGCAUGGUGGGGGUUGGAAAGUUUCGGCGGUUGGGGAUGGACUCGCGGGUGAUGAGCUUGUUGGUGGGGUAGUGGCUUACCAAGGCUUUGACGGGUAGCUGGCCUGAGAGGGUGACCGGCCACACUGGCACGGAGACACGGGCCAGGGUCCGACGGGAGGCAGCAGUGGGGAAUAUGGGACAAUGGGCGCAAGCCGGAUCCAGCCAUUCCGCGUGGGGGAAGAAGGCCUCCGGGUUGGAAAGCCCUUUUGUUGGGAAAGAAAACCACCAGGUUAAUACCCCGGUGGUAGGACGGUACCCAAAGAAUAAGCACCGGCUAACUUCGUG
RNAcentral lists this ribosomal RNA (488 nucleotides) under uncultured bacterium. Its description in RNAcentral is "partial 16S ribosomal RNA". It matches the Rfam family "Bacterial small subunit ribosomal RNA", at positions 28 to 507 of the family's 1533-position model. The record is from RNAcentral.